GGAAGUAGCCCCUUGAGACUAUUUGUACUUUUUUUUUUUCAAACAGUGGGGCUCCAGAGCCUGUACAUGUUGCUGGGUGUGCAGUAAACACACAGAAAACAGUAUAUGCCCACCCUGCUCGUGAAGAGGGAGUUGCUGAGUCUACACUCUGUGCCAUCUACCAUGCAAUUCACCACAGUAAUUUCGAAUAGCUUCUUGGGUCUUGCAUCAUUUGUGAAAGUGAAGCAAACCUUCCUCUACUGUACAGAGUGUCCAGAAAUAGAGCUCAUCAGAGUAACCCAGUUGACAUAAUGAGUGCCUUCACGUUCUCAUCAUACGAUGCGGGUUUCAACAGUGUUCCUAGGAGUUCCCAUCGUGGUGCAGCAGAAGCGGAUCUGACUAGGAAUCAUGAGGUUGCAGGUUCGAUCCCUGGCCUCACUCAGUGAGUUAAGGAUCCAGCGUUGCCAUGAGCUGUGGUGUAGGUCACAGACGCGGCUCAGAUCUGGUGUUGCUGUGGCUGUGGAGUAAGCCAGCAGCUACAGCUCUGAUUAGAGCCCUAGCCUGGAAAACUCCAUAUGCCAUGGGUGCGGCCCUAAAAAGACAAAAUAAAUAAAUAAAUAAAUAGUUUUCCUAUUUUUUU
RNAcentral lists this long non-coding RNA (619 nucleotides) under Sus scrofa (pig). RNAcentral describes it as "lncRNA (ENSSSCG00040008699.1)". The record is from RNAcentral. Lineage: Eukaryota; Metazoa; Chordata; Mammalia; Artiodactyla; Suidae.